Molecule: non-coding RNA, 1310 nt
Organism: Vigna umbellata (rice bean)
Lineage: Eukaryota; Viridiplantae; Streptophyta; Magnoliopsida; Fabales; Fabaceae
Source: RefSeq, a predicted model, not a curated record
GAUGUUGUUCUAGAGAGCACUUUUAGGACUGCAUACAACGUGUAGUAUUUUCUGAUGACUCCACUUCACGAGGUAGAAUUUUUUAAGAUUUUCACUCAGUCUUUUUAAACCAAAGCCAUUUGCAUCACCUUGGUUUGAGCAACAUUCAUCAGUUGAUUGCAGUUGUAAACCUCUGAAACAGUAGAAUCCAAAGCUGCCAACCCACCAACUGUAAAUAAACCACGUUCCACAUCACGUGACAUGCACCCCACAAACCUAUAAUCAACGAUCCUCCUAAUCUCAUGCUGAUUUAGCUUUGGGACUUGUAAGCUCAUGAACUAGUCAAAGAUUUCUCACAUGAUACCCUUCACUGCAUUUUCAAAUUUGGUCCAACCCACUAUCCAACAAAACUAUAUAUUAAUAUAUAUAUCAUCAACCUAACUAGUAUGUUACACAUACACGUAAUCAAUACUUUAUUAUAAUAUAUUUAAUCCAUAUAUGUAAAUAUAUGCACACUCUUAUCAUUGUAAGAAGCAUAUAUAGAGCAAGUGAAAGACAUCCUCCAAGUCAGAAAAGACCAUGAAUUCCUUAUGCAGUUCAAUGAUUGCUGCUAUCUUUGCCAUGACAUUGAUCCUUUCAUAUGGGGUGAUUAUGUCCCAAGCUAGGGUUCUUCCUUCUUCAUCCUUAGUUUCAAAAAUGUCACAAACUUCCAACUCUCUUUCAUAUUCAAAUUUUCAAAGAGAAGAGCAAAAAUCAUCUCAGAAGCCUGUGGCAGCAGCUAGCCUUACAAAAAAACCACCUAGAAAACCAAAUCCAACUGUUCGUGAGGUAGCUGCUAACCUCAGAAGGAUACCACCCAGCAGACCAAAUCCUACACAGAACAAGUUAAAGCCAAGGAUAAGAGGCUAAGCAGAGGAACUGAUGCAAUGGAUUGAAGCUAUACAUGAAGAUUCAAGCAGUGGCAUGAACUCUGUUGCUCUAGUUUUGUUUUUGUUUCACUUUCUUUUUAGGUUUUUACUGUUUCCCAGAUUCAAAUUCUUAGGUUUAUUAGUGAGAAUUUGGUAUAGUUCAUAUCACGACUUCAGAUUUUUCUUUGCUUUUAUCUUACCUUUAAUGCUUUAGAUUGUAGAGAAUAUAGCAGCUUAUGAAUGUAAAGGAGAAAAAUAAUAGCCAUUUAAAAUUGUUAUGGGCAGUACUAGAUUCAAAACUGUUUUAUUUAUUUUAGUUGAGAUUUUAGAAAAGAGAUUAGUUUGCAUUGUUAGCUGUUGUAAACUUGUAAGUAGCUUCUUCGUGUUAUUCUCAGUAUAACGUUUUUGGAUUUGAUUCUUCUA